CAUGGUUGUCGUCAGCUCGUGUCGUGAGAUGUUGGUUAAGUCCCGCAACGAGCGCAACCCCUAUUGUUAGUUGCCAUCAUUCAGUUGGGCACUCUAGCGAGACUGCCGGUAAUAAACCGGAGGAAGGUGGGGAUGACGUCAAAUCAUCAUGCCCCUUAUGACCUGGGCUACACACGUGCUACAAUGGUUGGUACAACGAGUUGCGAGUCGGUGACGGCGAGCUAAUCUCUUAAAGCCAAUCUCAGUUCGGAUUGUAGGCUGCAACUCGCCUACAUGAAGUCGGAAUCGCUAGUAAUCGCGGAUCAGCACGCCGCAGUAAAUACGUUCCCGGGCCUU
RNAcentral lists this ribosomal RNA (336 nucleotides) under uncultured Streptococcus sp. RNAcentral describes it as "bacterial SSU rRNA". It matches the Rfam family "Bacterial small subunit ribosomal RNA", at positions 1044 to 1382 of the family's 1533-position model. Lineage: Bacteria; Bacillati; Bacillota; Bacilli; Lactobacillales; Streptococcaceae. The record is from RNAcentral.